UGGUAUAGUCGAUCUUUGCAGGCCUGGUCCCAGGACUGGCUGAAGCUGAACAGCUUUCUCAUCUGUCCCGGCCUGGUGGCCUCAGCCCGCACCUGCUCAUACUGCUCCUCGCUCAGCACCUGUCCAUGCAGCUUGUCCAAGACAGGGUCCACCGAUGUCACUCGUGCCACCAGCUGCUCUCGAUACUGGUCCACGAAGUGCAGCAAGGCCGGGGUGUCCAUGGAUGAAGCCUCUGAUCAGUACACCAGGUAAAGAUGUUAAAGCCACAGGAGACAGUUUGCGUGAUGAAGGCUGGUGGUGGAAGAGAUGUUGGCCUGCAGAUGAGGAGUCCUGGCUCCAUGACCACAUUGCCUGGCAACUGCUGUGAUGCAGGUGGUUUCUGGGCAACAGGACAUCCAGAAAGCUGAACAAGGACCUUAGUGGCUGGAGUACCAGUCAGAAUAUCACCGAAUGAUGAUUGGAGAGAGAAGAGAAGCAACAAGAAAGAUCAUGGCCUGAAGGAGAAGAAGCUUGAGUGCUGACUGGGACAAAUCUCAUUGGCAGGGAGACCUUCUACCCGGAGCUGACUUUAGCUGGUCUCAUUAGAAAUAUUCAGAACAAGCCAUCAUGGGGAUUAUGAACGUGACUGCCAUGUCCAUCCCUAAGAUCUUCUGAAGACGCAUUUUGCAGAAUCUGCAUUUUGAGAUGCUCUAUUGUUGCAUGAGUCAGAAGGGGCUGGUUCCAGAGAACCUACAGGUUUGAGGCACGUGGGAUAUCAUUGUGGUUCCCAGCA
Molecule: long non-coding RNA, 772 nt
Organism: Lemur catta (Ring-tailed lemur)
Lineage: Eukaryota; Metazoa; Chordata; Mammalia; Primates; Lemuridae
Exons: 4
Source: RefSeq, a predicted model, not a curated record